GCACAACACGGGGCCAGACACACGGAAAGGGCCCCAAGGGUCAGCCCCCGGGCUGCCCUCCACGCAGACCCCACAGGGUCUCCUCGUCGCCCCCCCGACCUCCGCGCGCGUGCGCACAAGCUGCUAGAGGGAGCGGCGGGCAGCGGACGGCGGGAAAAGGAGACUUACCUCGGUAUUCCUCCAUACGCCCCCCUUGAUCAUAAUUCGAGGCAUCUUGGCGGCAGGGUGUCUCGGCAAGCAGCCGAGAGGAGCUUCAGAGAAGUAGUAACAGCGAUUGGGCCACCGGACUCAAAGCCGCCACUUCCUCCAAGCGCGACCUUCUGCUUUGAAGAUCUGCGCAAGCGCAAGGUCUUCGAGAUUUUAACACUGGAGCAUAGAGGAGGUCAGUCUCUACUGACUGCUGAACAUCCAACACGUGACACCCAGGAGUUGUCUACCACCAUGUUUUGGACUAAGGGAAAAAAGCAGAGUCACUGAAAUUAAAGCCUGUAAGAAGCUGUCAGAUGAAAAAAUCUGUUUCUCCCUGUUGAGAGUUGAAUUGUAUUCCCCCCAAAUAGAUAUGUUCAAGUCCUAACCCCUGCUACCUGUAAAUGUGACCUUAUUUGGAAAUAGAGUCUUUGCAGAUGUAAUCAAGUUAAAAUGAGAUCAUACUGGAGUAGGUUGUCCCUAAAUCCAAUGAGUAGUGUCCUUAUAAGUGGAGAAGAAAAAAGAUACAGACACACAGGGGGAAUAUCAUGGGAAGAAAGAGGCAGAGAUUGGAGUGAUGCAGCUCCAAGCCAAGGAAUGCCAAGGAUUCUGGCAGCCACCAGAAGCCAGGAGAAGGCAUGGAACACAUUCUCCCUCUGAGCCCCAAGAAGGAGCCAGCCCUGCUGACACUUUGAUUUUGGACUCCCAGCCUCCAGAACUGUAAGAGAAUACAUUUCUCUUGUUUUAAGCCACUUAGUUUAUUGUGCUUUCUUGUGGCAGCCCUAGGAAGCUAAUACACUCCUUUGUUAAUACAGCAGAUCCUUGAAUAACAUCAUUUUGUGCAAGAUCGUUUCAUGAUAACAUUGAUGAGUCCAGGCAUGGUGGCUCAUGCCCGUAAUUCCAACACUCGGGGAGGCCAAGGCAGGAGGAUUGCUUGAGCCCAGGAGUUUG
Molecule: long non-coding RNA, 1137 nt
Filed under: Homo sapiens (human)
Lineage: Eukaryota; Metazoa; Chordata; Mammalia; Primates; Hominidae
Description: HSALNT0106588
Source: RNAcentral